Molecule: long non-coding RNA, 6045 nt
Filed under: Coffea arabica (coffee)
Lineage: Eukaryota; Viridiplantae; Streptophyta; Magnoliopsida; Gentianales; Rubiaceae
Description: long non-coding RNA (CARA_LNC000700)
Source: RNAcentral
UUUUUUUUUUUUUUUUUUUUUUUUGGUUUAUUAACCUUCAGGUUUUACAAGUGAAUAUUGACCAAAUGAAAAUCGGUAUUGUCUGCAUUAUCGAUUAAAUCAAAUUUGAAUUGCUGUUGGUGGAGGAUCAAGUUUCCAAGUCUGAUUUCAUUGCUGUUUUAAUAGAUGAACUAUACCAGAUAUAUACUGUUCCAUAUACAACAGUUAACCUAUUUUGUGAGAUAUUGUAGUGUCAUAAAAGAUAACCAUAUAGGCACUUGUGACACCAAUUAAAUGUAUACUUUUUUCACGUUCUUAACUAUAAAUAUACACAUAUAGAGGCACAUUGAUUUGCAAAUCAUAUAUAUUGAUUUGAAAGCAAUUAAUGAAUUCUUGAAUCAUAUAUAAAUAAAAUAUCUUGUUGCUUCUUAUUUAAUCACACACAAACAUAAGCAGAGAUGCAUGUAUCAUCUCCCUGCUUAAUUAAAGAGUAGUGUAUACAUACUCUCAUAUGUCUACAAAUGAAUAUGUAUGUGACAGCUACAUAUCGUGUUGUAUUAUACACAUAUAAGAUAUUACACGUGCAUACACAAAUCAAGGCAAUUAAUAGAAGGAGAUCGAUUUAUUAAAUAUCCAUGCUAAUUACCCCUUUAAUCAAUAAAAUGUGAAAAACAUGUGAUUGUUACUCCUUCCGUCCCACUUUGAUAGUUCUGUUUUCCUUUUUCGUCUGUUCCAAAUUGUAGUCCACUUUCCAAUUGAAGAAUGUAGUUGUAUUUUAAUUUUCCUAAAAUACCCUUAUUCAAUGUAAGUUAUUGUUACUAUAAGCCUACCCCAUUUCAUGAGAGUUUAUUCUUUUUUUACCAUCAAUUCAAGUUUCCAUAAGAUGUACUCUAAUUAAUGUGAGGGUAUUUUAGGAAAAUAGCUACCUAAAUUGAUUGUUCCAACAAAGUUAACUACUUUUUCUUAAACUGUGUGAAAAAACAACUAGGACUAUCAAAGUAGGACCGAUGGAGUAUUACUUAGACAAGGUAUGUAAGUCCCAUUAGAAAAUUAAUGAACUCUACUUUAGGACAAACCAAAAGUUGAGAGGCUGAAGAAUCAGAAAAUAGUGAGGACUAAAUCAGGACUAGAAAAAUAGUCUAAGGAUUGUUUUUGCAAUUUUUCCUUUUUUUUUCCCGAAAGGUAAAAACAUUAUGAAAUAUGCAGCAUACUUUGUCAAAUAUGGAUGUUCUCCGAAUAAAAGCAAUAUGUAUGGUUGCUUGAUUGUUUUGUGGAGGAAUCACAUUCCACAUUUGCCCACAAACGCAACACUUUUGGUGAAUUGAUGCUUGGGACAAAUUCAAUUAAAAUGAAAAAUACCCACAUAGUUCACGUGUUUCAUGUGCACUGUCCAAAUUUUAACCAUCUUAGUAACGUUAGGUUGGAAAAUAGCAAUAUUAAUGUGACAAAUUUUGAGAGUUAAAGGUAAUUCGGAAACUUGCACUUUUAAUGUGAUAGAUUUUGAGAAUUGGGACAACUAAAAAAGAAACGUACGGCAUGAUCAACUGGACAAGAGAGUACUUUGCUUUUUCGUUUUCUUUUUCUUUUUUUUGAGUUAAUAACACUUUGCCCCCUAAACUUAGGGGAUAGUCAAACUUUACCUCCCAAGUCUUAAAUAUAUGCAUUUCACUUCCCACAAAAACUAAUCAAAGUCAGAAAUACGAAAAAAGCGAGUGCAAUGAUAUUUUUGCACUUUUGUUAAUGAAAUUAUUUAUAACUCAAUACCAUUUCCUUUCAUUGCGAAAAGAUUUAUAUCUUCUCUAUUGUAUCAACUAUACCGAAAUAUCAAACAAUAAAAAGUUAAAGAAAGUUAAUGUUUAGUUUAUAUCCUUGAGAUUUUUCCUGUUGGAUUAAUUUUUACUUCUAUAUUUGUUUUGUUCGAUAUAUUAGACUUUAAGCCAAACAAAAUAAAUAUAAUCGCUAAAAUUUAUAUAAAAAAGGUAAUAUCAAACUCAUUUUUAAAGUAAUUUUUUAUCAUUUUAAUUUAUUUAAACUUUUAGACUAAUAUCAUUGUCAUUUUUUUUAUCAAAUUACUCGAAUAUGAAAUUAUUAAUCAAAUUUGCUAAAAAAUGGUUGAUAUACCUCAUUUUUAAACUUAGAGAAGAAAAAUCAAGAUUAAAUCAAAUUUUAUUUUUUUGAGAAGAAAAGGUAAUAAUAGUAAACUAUAAAUACUACAACAAAAAUGACAAUAGUAUUUACCCAAAAGUUCACAUAAACUAAAUAAUAAAAAAACUACUUUUUUAAACAAAAAACAAGUUUAGUAUUACCUCUUUCCUGAAAAGAAAUUUGGUAUCUAUGUUUACUUUACUGUAUUUUGUGUUAUUUAUUUUAUUUGAAGGACUUAAAUUAUAAUAAAUUGAACAAAGCUUAUAUAAAAAUGAAUACUAACUGAUAGAAAAUUUUUAAGAAUAUAAGCUAAAUAUAAACUUUAUUCAGCUUUUUUUUAGUUUGAUAUUAUUGUAUAGUUGAUAUGAUAAAGAAGAUGUAUAUUUUUUAGCAAUGAAAGGAAAUACUACUAAGUUAUAGAUAAGGGAUAAUUUCAAAAACCUUCCCUGAGUUUUCUGGCAAUUUCAUUGCUUUCCCUUGAGGUUUUAGAAAUUUUACUUACCUCUCCUGACAAUUAUUUGGGACACAACGCUUACAUCACUAAUGGCCAAAUGGCUUUAAUUCUCUUAUAAUUUAGGAUAUUUUACACAUACAUGUAAAUGAAAAGAGUUAAACAUUUUCUAACUACAUUAACCAUAAUUUGGAUUGUAAAAAUUUAAUUAAUUUGUCAUCUAAAAAUAAAGCCAAUUCUAGGUGUAUAUUUUUAAAUUUUUAUAUACUUCACAAAUAAAAGAAAUUAGGCAUAAUGCACUUGAUAAAUUAAAUUAAAGACAUGAGAAACAAUUAAGCCAUUUACAAACUAAAUUAAUCAUAAUUUGAAAUACAAAAAAAAAAGAAAAUCUAAUUUGACAUCUAAAAAGGGAUCGAAUACUAGACAUCCUUUUUCAAUUUAUGUACUUGAUAAAUAAAAGGAAUAAAAUAUAAAGAGAUUUUAGUUAGGCUAAAUUUUCAUAUAAUUGUGGUAAUAACAAGAAUAUUAAGGUAUGGCAAAAACUUUUUCUUUUGUUAAAUUUUGAAAGUUGUUAUUUUUUGUUAUGGAUAAUGGAAAUUUUUUGUUUACCAUGUGUAGUAAUGACCCUAUAAGUUGAAUUAACAAGUUAGAUCAAAUAUUUAAUUUAACUAGUAUAAUAGUUGAGGGGCACUUUUGACAUAAAUAAUUUCCACACCUAAAAUUAUUCCUUAUUAUUGCUUUUUUAAGAUUGGGCAGAAUUGUUACCAGAAAAUUGGUUCUAAGGGAGGUCGAUGAUAGUUUUAGAACCUUAAGAGAGGGCAAUGAACUAUUAGGAACCUAAUGAGAGGGUUCUGAAAUUAUCUCCAUGGAUAAUUUCAUGAAUAAAUGGGCAAUAAUUUCAUUACACUUUUUUGUUGUAUUUUUAACUUUGACUAGUAUUCAUGGUGGGUAAAGUGUAUAUAUUUGAGAUUGAGGAGGAUAAAGUGUAAAUACCCCGUAAGUUUAGGAAGGCAAAGUGUUAUUAACCUUUUUUCCUUUUGGAUUCCAUGGAAAACUCCAAGACUUAUAACAAAGAAUAAGAAAUAUUGAGGAAUUCAAAAUCAAAACUAGGGAUCUUAUGUUCGCGUGGCUAAUGUCCCUUGUUACCAUGUAAAAAAGCAAUGUACGAUAUUAUCAACGGGACAAGAGAGUACUUUGCACUUCUUCUUUUUUUUUUUUUUCAUGGAAAACUCCAGGCCUUAUCAGAAAGAAUAAGAAAUAAUGAGGAAUUCAAAUUGGACUCGAGAUCUUAUGUUCCUAUGGCUGAAAAAGAAGGGAAGAUAUUUGACACAUAUGAAAAUCAGCGUUAAAGAAAAGUUAUAUUAGGUUCACAAAAAUGAAGCACACCCAACUCUCAUAUUAAAAGCGACGCAAAUUUUUGGUAGAAUUGCUUUUACGUACAAUAACCAAAAUUCUUGAUAAUCUUUUCUUCUCACACUUCUCAACAGAACAAAAUUACAAGCCACCAUAUGUAUAUGUAGUUAACAAGAAAUACUUGCCACAAAAAAUUACCUAAUACAAUAAUUAAUCUACCAAAUUAAUAAAUUACCCAAAACUAAACUUGAACAGAAAAGUGCUAAACAAUAACGUAGAAACUUUUAAGAUUAUUAAGCUUGAUUAAAUAUGCUUAAUAUCAAUGUCAACUAAGUUGCGUCUAGGGAUACAGAUUACUUUCCAAUUUGUAUAAUUGUAUUGAUUCAUAGCAUCGUUGCCAAAAUCAAAUUCUAUUGCUUCUGCCUUCUUUCCUUUCAAACAAGGUUCUUGUUUGGAAACUAGUACUGCAGUAACACGAAAAUAACUUUAAAAAGUUUGUUCUUUCUUUCUGCUAUGUUAAAUAACUUCUCGAUCCUUAAAAUUGUAGAAAACCUCAAUUUACCUUUUGAAAAUGGGUUUUACAAAGACCAAAUCUGCAUUCCAGAUUUUUAUUUAAUUGCAAUUUAAAGUGGUAUAGUUCCUAUUACAUGGUCUUAACAUUCUGCUCAACGAAGAAAGUAUUCAGCAUAUGAAACCUUAGCAGUUCAAAACGUUUAGGGGGUAUAAGAUUAGUUUAUUUGAAGCCUUAUUUGGCAUGAAUUGGACUAGACGAAGUUAUAUGUCUGACUUUUAACCCAUGCUAUUCUAUACAAUGCGUGCAAUCACAAAGUAAGUAAAGUUUCAAUUAUUCUCUUGGAAGUUUGCUAAUGCCAUGCCAUGCAUCCAGGAACACAAAAUCACCCAUAGCAGACCACAAGUUGACUUUCCUUAACCAAAUGAACGUUGAAGCUAUGAAUUUCUACAGUUUCAGUAAUCCAAAGGAAGGAUAGAAACCCACUAAGAGUAGUCACAGGCAGUAAGAACUUACAAACCCAUUUUUCAGCAUCGAUUCUGUUAGUCGCAAGUAUUCCUCACAUAUGCAAAGCAUUCGCAACAAUUACCUGUCAACUAAAUUAAGAGACCAAAAAAGAAAGAGUUAGAUUCAGAUUUUCUAUAUGGGCAUAUAAGAAUAUUUGUCUUACAAUUCUACAUUUGAAAUCUCCUGCAAUAUGUUAGUAUGUAUAGAACUCAAGAUUCUCUAUUUUGACGGUCUCUAUUCAUUUUAAAUUUGUCACAGGAAGCUCUGUGAUGUUCGAUUAACCCUUGAAUUUUAUUCCUCAUAAUACAUUAUCAAGAGAAUAUUGAGCUCUCAAAAAAAAAAGGCUCAACGUUUCAUGAAAGAUCUUUUUUCCAAUAUCAAUCAUAUUUCAAACUGGAAGGGUAUUUAUAUAUAGAAGCAAGGAGAACUGGAGCCAGUGUAACAUGGAAGUUUGAUGAGAAGAUCUUUGCAAAACAGUAGUUAGUAUGUACUUGUGCACAUAUCGUACAGUUUGCAAUACUUAAUAGAAGUUCUACUAUUUUACCUAAAUUUUUUUAAAGUUUUUUUUUUUUUGUCAACAGAAAAUGUUAUAAAGGAGAAAAAUAUAUUGCAUAAGUGUGAAUCCACAAGGUUAAUGGUGGAUAGUUCAUAGUACUAGAUAUAUGUUUCUCAGGUGAAAAACAAAAGAACAAAAGAGAAAAAAGGUAUAUGUUCCUCUUAUAUCAGCGCAAGGCAAAUAUUGAUACUUCCUAAAAUUGUUCAUUGGCUCUACUUGGAACUUUGCCAACCAUUUACCUGCCACAGCUCCAAAUAUCUCCAACACAUUCAUGCACAUGUAGAGAAAUUUAAGAUAAUCUUACAAAUUUGCAUUUCCCACUCAAUAUUGCCAUAAUCAAGCAUUCAAUCUUAACUACUAUCAAAUUUAGAUGUACUGCUUAUUCCCCCACAUAUGUAUAAGCCUAUUCUACCAGGUAUGCUAAUCUUACACUAAACAUGAACUCCACUUUAAAUGUAGUUUGUAAGACACCUGAAAGGUGCAUAUUCUUGAUCAAUACACCAUCUACCUCUUUACAAAUUCGCUUGUGUAUUCCUCAUGAAA